CUAGCCCUAAACGAUGAUCGCUUGGUGUAGCAGGUACCCAAUCCUGCUGUGCCGGAGCUAACGCGUUAAGCGAUCCGCCUGGGGANAACGCGAAGAACCUUACCUGGGCUCGAAGCGCAGUGGACCGCGGUAGAAAUAUCGCUUUCCCGCAAGGGACCGCUGCGUAGGUGC
This 171-nucleotide ribosomal RNA is filed under the name uncultured bacterium. RNAcentral's name for it is "partial 16S ribosomal RNA". The record is from RNAcentral.